Molecule: long non-coding RNA, 1020 nt
Organism: Alligator sinensis (Chinese alligator)
Lineage: Eukaryota; Metazoa; Chordata; Crocodylia; Alligatoridae
Exons: 3
Source: RefSeq, a predicted model, not a curated record
GCCCCGGCACAAGCAUAAAUAGAGCUGUGGCCAUGUGGCAGGGAGUCCUCCUCUGAGGACAGCUGCAGCCUUUGCACAACUGGGGGGUUAGGAUGGAACUGAGCAGGGGGAGGUGGGGGUGAGAUCUUGAACGAUGGAGGAGGAGAAACUGAGGGGUCUCCACAGCAGGUAUUGUGUUCUCUGUAUAGCAGACUACACUCAUGGGGUUGGCAAACUUACAUCGACCAGGUACCCCACAUCAGAGAGACAGACCCUUCAACGAGCCUGAGCCAAAGCACCAUAUCCUUUGCUAGAGAUGUCCAAAGGGGGUCCCAGUGUAGUACCUGUAGCACUGUAUUCAUGGUAUUUCUGCAAACUAUUGCAGCCUCUGACCUUCCCAGCUUUGAGCACUAGAGAUACACAUGGAGUUGUUCCUGGAGCAGAGUACUUUGGGGCUCUUAUAUUAUUCUACAUAUUUAGUCUUCCAUGUGCAUUAAAGUCCAUCACAGCAUUGAAGCCUUCGGACAGCUGAUUUGAAUGAUUUUUUUUGGGGGGGGGGAGGGAGGGGGUAAAGGGGCAUGCAAUAGAGUAUAUAGUAAAACAUCCGUUAUACUGGAGACUGUUAACAGCAAACAAUAAUUAAAGAUGGGAAGAACAGGGAGUAAGAAAGACACAGAAGAAAGCAAAACAGAGAGCCAGUCUCCAUGCACACAAACCGCUAAAAGGCACUUACCAAACUGAACUGAAUUGAUUUAACUGGACGGGUGUUCGUACCUUUAACAGAUAAGGGCAUGCAGGCAGUUGGCCGUGUCCGUAUCAGUGUGUCCGUAUGAGUAUUAAAAAGUAAAAUGAGAUCUGCCAUGGGAAGGCACUGAACCAUUGCAAUAUCGCAGCUCGGGAGCUAGCUAGCGCUGGGGAACUCACAGCAUCCGAGCGCCUUCUUCCCAGGGACAGCUCUCAGCUCUCCAGCGCAGCGAGCCAGGACUUGCCUUGCUUUCCCCAAGCUAAAGGCAUGAAACACUAAAUCAGUAUUAGGAACUC